RNAcentral lists this ribosomal RNA (366 nucleotides) under Rickettsiales bacterium. RNAcentral describes it as "partial 23S ribosomal RNA". It matches the Rfam family "Bacterial large subunit ribosomal RNA", at positions 2549 to 2925 of the family's 2925-position model. The record is from RNAcentral. Lineage: Bacteria; Pseudomonadati; Pseudomonadota; Alphaproteobacteria; Rickettsiales.
GGGGCUGGAGCAGGUCCCAAGGGUAUGGCUGUUCGCCAUUUAAAGCGGUACGUGAGUUGGGUUAAUAACGUCGUGAGACAGUUAGGUCCCUAUCUACUGUGGGCGUUGGAUAUUUGAGCAGACUUGACCUUAGUACGAGAGGACCGGGUCGAACGAACCCCUGGUGUUCCAGUUGUCGCGCCCGCGGCAGCGCUGGUUAGCUAUGUUCGGAACAGAUAACCGCUGAAUGCAUCUAAGCGGGAAGCUGGCUGCAAGAUAAGAUAUCCCCAUUAAUCCUGUUGUAGACUACAACGUUGAUAGGUUGCACGUGUAAGCCCUGCGAGGGGUUCAGCGCAGCAAUACUAAUCGGAUGAUUGACUUUUUAUC